RNAcentral lists this ribosomal RNA (904 nucleotides) under human gut metagenome. RNAcentral describes it as "bacterial SSU rRNA". It matches the Rfam family "Bacterial small subunit ribosomal RNA", at positions 146 to 1068 of the family's 1533-position model. The record is from RNAcentral.
ACAGUUGGAAACGACUGCUAAUACCGCAUAAGCCCACGGCUCGGCAUCGAGCAGAGGGAAAAGGAGCAAUCCGCUUUGAGAUGGCCUCGCGUCCGAUUAGCUAGUUGGUGAGGUAACGGCCCACCAAGGCGACGAUCGGUAGCCGGACUGAGAGGUUGAACGGCCACAUUGGGACUGAGACACGGCCCAGACUCCUACGGGAGGCAGCAGUGGGGAAUAUUGCACAAUGGGGGAAACCCUGAUGCAGCGACGCCGCGUGGAGGAAGAAGGUCUUCGGAUUGUAAACUCCUGUUGUUGAGGAAGAUAAUGACGGUACUCAACAAGGAAGUGACGGCUAACUACGUGCCAGCAGCCGCGGUAAAACGUAGGUCACAAGCGUUGUCCGGAAUUACUGGGUGUAAAGGGAGCGCAGGCGGGCGAUCAAGUUGGAAGUGAAAUCCAUGGGCUCAACCCAUGAACUGCUUUCAAAACUGAUUGUCUUGAGUAGUGCAGAGGUAGGCGGAAUUCCCGGUGUAGCGGUGGAAUGCGUAGAUAUCGGGAGGAACACCAGUGGCGAAGGCGGCCUACUGGGCACCAACUGACGCUGAGGCUCGAAAGUGUGGGUAGCAAACAGGAUUAGAUACCCUGGUAGUCCACACCGUAAACGAUGAUUACUAGGUGUUGGAGGAUUGACCCCUUCAGUGCCGCAGUUAACACAAUAAGUAAUCCACCUGGGGAGUACGACCGCAAGGUUGAAACUCAAAGGAAUUGACGGGGGCCCGCACAAGCAGUGGAGUAUGUGGUUUAAUUCGACGCAACGCGAAGAACCUUACCAAGUCUUGACAUCCUGCGACGAUGCUAGAAAUAGUAUUUUCCUUCGGGACGCAGAGACAGGUGGUGCAUGGUUGUCGUCAGCUCGUGUCGU